This 153-nucleotide ribosomal RNA is filed under the name Phyllosticta cryptomeriae. Its description in RNAcentral is "5.8S rRNA". It matches the Rfam family "5.8S ribosomal RNA". From Rfam's summary of the family: 5.8S ribosomal RNA (5.8S rRNA) is a component of the large subunit of the eukaryotic ribosome. It is transcribed by RNA polymerase I as part of the 45S precursor that also contains 18S and 28S rRNA. The record is from RNAcentral. Lineage: Eukaryota; Fungi; Ascomycota; Dothideomycetes; Botryosphaeriales; Phyllostictaceae.
UAAAACUUUCAACAACGGAUCUCUUGGUUCUGGCAUCGAUGAAGAACGCAGCGAAAUGCGAUAAGUAAUGUGAAUUGCAGAUUUCAGUGAAUCAUCGAAUCUUUGAACGCACAUUGCGCCCUCUGGUAUUCCGGAGGGCAUGCCUGUUCGAGC